This 460-nucleotide ribosomal RNA is filed under the name uncultured bacterium. RNAcentral's name for it is "partial 16S ribosomal RNA". It matches the Rfam family "Bacterial small subunit ribosomal RNA", at positions 338 to 795 of the family's 1533-position model. The record is from RNAcentral.
CCUACGGGAGGCAGCAGUGAGGAAUAUUGGUCAAUGGGCGCGAGCCUGAACCAGCCAAGUCGCGUGAAGGAUGACUGCCCUACGGGUUGUAAACUUCUUUUAUAAAGGAAUAAAGUGAGGCACGUGUGCCUUUUUGUAUGUACUUUAUGAAUAAGGAACGGCUAACUCCGUGCCAGCAGCCGCGGUAAUACGGAGGAUCCGAGGGUUAUCCGGAUUUAUUUGGUUUAAAGGGAGCGUAGGUGGGUUGUUAAGUCAGGUGUGAAAGUGUGCGGGUCAACCGUAAAAUUGCAAUUGAUACUGGCAGUCUUGAGUACAGGUGAGGUAGGCGGAAUUCGUGGUGUAGCGGUGAAAUGCUUAGAUAUCACGAAGAACUCCGAUUGCGAAGGCAGCUUACUAACCUGCCACUGACAUUGAUGCUCGAAAGUGUGGGUAUCAAACAGGAUUAGAUACCCCAGUAGUC